This 859-nucleotide ribosomal RNA is filed under the name Phanerochaetaceae sp. RNAcentral's name for it is "partial large subunit ribosomal RNA". It matches the Rfam family "Eukaryotic large subunit ribosomal RNA", at positions 72 to 937 of the family's 3401-position model. The record is from RNAcentral. Lineage: Eukaryota; Fungi; Basidiomycota; Agaricomycetes; Polyporales; Phanerochaetaceae.
GGAUUCCCCUAGUAACUGCGAGUGAAGCGGGAAAAGCUCAAAUUUAAAAUCUGGCAGUCUUUGGCUGUCCGAGUUGUAGUCUGGAGAAGCGUUUUCCGCGCUGGACCGUGUACAAGUCUCCUGGAACGGAGCGUCAUAGAGGGUGAGAAUCCCGUCUUUGACACGGACUACCAGUGCUUUGUGAUGCGCUCUCAAAGAGUCGAGUUGUUUGGGAAUGCAGCUCAAAAUGGGUGGUAAACUCCAUCUAAAGCUAAAUAUUGGCGAGAGACCGAUAGCGAACAAGUACCGUGAGGGAAAGAUGAAAAGCACUUUGGAAAGAGAGUUAAACAGUACGUGAAAUUGCUGAAAGGGAAACGCUUGAAGUCAGUCGCGUCUACUAGAACUCAGCCUGGCCUCGGCUUGGUGCAUUUUCUAGUGGACGGGCCAGCAUCACUUUUGGUUGCGGGAUAAAGGUCGCAGAAAUGUGGCACCUUCGGGUGUGUUAUAGUCUGUGGCUGUAUACCGUGGCUGGGAGUGAGGAACUCAGCACGCGCAAGCGGUGCUUAGGAUGCUGGCGUAAUGGCUUUAAACGACCCGUCUUGAAACACGGACCAAGGAGUCUAACAUGCCUGCGAGUGUUUGGGUGGAAAACCCGAGCGCGCAAUGAAAGUGAUAGUUGGGACCUCUGUCGUGGAGGGCACCGACGCCCGGACCAGACCUUCUGUGACGGAUCCGCGGUAGAGCAUGUAUGUUGGGACCCGAAAGAUGGUGAACUAUGCCUGAAUAGGGUGAAGCCAGAGGAAACUCUGGUGGAGGCUCGUAGCGAUUCUGACGUGCAAAUCGAUCGUCAAAUUUGGGUAUAGGGGCGAAAGACUAAUCG